Molecule: ribosomal RNA, 752 nt
Filed under: uncultured Glomus
Lineage: Eukaryota; Fungi; Glomeromycota; Glomeromycetes; Glomerales; Glomeraceae
Description: SSU rRNA
Rfam family: Eukaryotic small subunit ribosomal RNA
Source: RNAcentral
GGCCUACCAUGGUGGUAACGGGUAACGGGGUGUUAGGGCACGACACCGGAGAGGGAGCCUGAGAAACGGCUACCACAUCCAAGGAUGGCAGCAGGCGCGCAAAUUACCCAAUCCCGACACGGGGAGGUAGUGACAAUAAAUAACAAUACGGGGUUCUUUCGGAUCUCGUAAUUGGAAUGAGUACAAUUUAAAUCUCUUAACGAGGAACAAUUGGAGGGCAAGUCUGGUGCCAGCAGCCGCGGUAAUUCCAGCUCCAAUAGCGUAUAUUAAAGUUGCUGCAGUUAAAAAGCUCGUAGUUGAAUUUCGGGACCAAUAUGUCGGUCGUGCUUCGGUACGUACUGUCAUAAUUGGUUUCUCCCUUCUGAAGAACCUUGAUGUCAUUAAUUUGGUGUCUUGGGGAAUCGGGACUGUUACUUUGAAAAAAUUAGAGUGUUUAAAGCAGGCUCGCGCUUGAAUACAUUAGCAUGGAAUAAUGAAAUAGGACGUUUGAUUCUAUUUUGUUGGUUUCUAGGAUCGACGUAAUGAUUAAUAGGGAUAGUUGGGGGCAUUAGUAUUCAAUUGUCAGAGGUGAAAUUCUUGGAUUUAUUGAAGACUAACUACUGCGAAAGCAUUUGCCAAGGACGUUUUCAUUAAUCAAGAACGAAAGUUAGGGGAUCGAAGACAAUCAGAUACCGUCGUAGUCUUAACCAUAAACUAUGCCGACUAGGGAUCGGAUGAUGUUAAUUUUUUAAUGACUCAUUCGGCGCCUUACG